CUUUUUUUUUUAUUAUAUUUAACCGGAUGGCCGACGGAAAACUUUAUUUAGUGAGAUCGGGAUGAUGGGAAUUUAAAAUAUAUGAGAAUUUUGUUUUUCACGUUCGUCAUCGCCUUUCUCAAACAUGUGUCCGGGUCCUCCGAAUCCUUGGCCAACGCUCCUGCAAAAAUAGCUGUGCAUAAACCCUUUGCGGGAUUUUUUUUGGCACAAAACAUUUCAUCAUCCACUUUCGGCUAACGGAACCCAUUGAAACCC
Non-coding RNA from Drosophila suzukii, 255 nucleotides. NCBI's taxonomy places the organism in Eukaryota, Metazoa, Arthropoda, Insecta, Diptera, Drosophilidae. The record is from RefSeq and is a predicted model, not a curated record.